This 462-nucleotide ribosomal RNA is filed under the name uncultured Desulfobulbus sp. Its description in RNAcentral is "bacterial SSU rRNA". It matches the Rfam family "Bacterial small subunit ribosomal RNA", at positions 925 to 1382 of the family's 1533-position model. The record is from RNAcentral. Lineage: Bacteria; Pseudomonadati; Thermodesulfobacteriota; Desulfobulbia; Desulfobulbales; Desulfobulbaceae.
ACAAGCGGUGGAGUAUGUGGUUUAAUUCGAUGCAACGCGAAGAACCUUACCUGGUCUUGACAUCCCGGAGACCCUUAGGAAACUAGGGGUGCUUCCAUCUGGAAGAAUCUGGAGACAGGUGCUGCAUGGCUGUCGUCAGCUCGUGUCGUGAGAUGUUGGGUUAAGUCCCGCAACGAGCGCAACCCUUGCCUUUAGUUGCCAGCAGUUCGGCUGGGCACUCUAAAGGGACUGCCGGUGUUAAACCGGAGGAAGGUGGGGAUGACGUCAAGUCCUCAUGGCCUUUAUGACCAGGGCUGCACACGUACUACAAUGGCCGAUACAAAGGGCAGCGACACUGCGAGGUGAAGCCAAUCCCGUAAAAUCGGUCUCAGUCCGGAUUGGAGUCUGCAACUCGACUCCAUGAAGUUGGAAUCGCUAGUAAUCGUGGAUCAGCAUGCCACGGUGAAUACGUUCCCGGGCCUU